UAAAAUCUCAAAUAAUUAAAAACUUUUAUUUUCACAUACAAUCUGUCCCAUAUACGAGCUUACGAGGCCCAAAACAUACAUCCGGAGUGGUUCGGGACCCAACCAAGAACUCAUGAAAAACUUAGAAAAUCUCUUGCAUCAAGGCUUCAUAUGCCCGUGUGGGUAUAGAGCACACGCCCGUGUGCUAGGGACACGCCCGUGUCCCAAACCCGUGUCCAAAAACCUGGACAAAUACAAGGCUAUUUUCCAAGCCAUUUUGUCACACUCACAAUAGAUACACGCAUACUUAUACAAUAACAUACAACAUGACAAAAUUAGGUACUUAAACAUUCCUAACAUGUCAUGAUUAUGGCAAUUUCACAUGCAAUAGAUAUCAUAGAUUUUACUCUCAUCUUUACCACAUUCAUACUAUAAUCAUUAUAAACUCAUCACAUAAUAUCAUAGCACAUGCAUGCAUAAUUAAAAUAGAUUUACAACCCCAUAAUCAAAAUAGGCCAACACAUAUAGUUAAAGCCAUAUCACAUACUCUAAUAUUUAAACUCCUAUACAUGCCAUAGGCUCAAAGUACUUGAAAUCACUACACCAAUAGCGUUAGCUUGAUAGUGUAAUAAUAUCUUUGACGGCCUCCAACCCGAGCUAACCUGGAAACUCUAGAAAACAUGGGAAAGAAGAGGGGGUAAGCUUUCGCUUAGUAAGUUCAUAUGAAAACAAUAAGCACCCAUUUACUUGUUUUAUCAAUGUUUACAACAUAUUCUCAAGUUCAAUACAAGCUGUCUUUCUGAGCAACGGUCACUAAAUUAUUUAUAUCUGGAGCUACGAAACUCCAAAUUAAGUUCUGUUAAUUUUCCCUGAAACUAGACUUAUUUUCAUUUCUUCCAUAAAAUUUUCAGAAUUUUUGGUUAAGCCAAAUAGUACAGUUUAUUCCUCAAAGUUACCCCUGAUUCACUGUCUAACAGUUCUGACCCUUCUGUACUAAAGUUCAAUUAUCUCAUAGUACAAGACUCGAAUAAUGUUCUUGUCUAUUUAUCUUGAAACUAGACUCAUAUGUCUACUUACUAAUUUUUUUAUAAAAUUUUUGGUUGGGCCAAUUAGUACGGUUUAUUAGUUAAAGUCUCCCCUGUUUCAGGGUAUGACCCCUAUGCACUACAAACCAAAUUUAUCCCUGUAAAAAAUUCCAAAUACCAUGGUGUUUAUUUCCCCUAAAAAUAGACUCAAUAAGGAAUCCAUGCAUGUAAGGUAUGACUCUUAAUAAUUUUUGUACAAUUUUUGGUGAAUUUCUAAACUCAAGACAGGGGAUCUCGAAUUCACUCAGACCCUGUUUAAAAAGAAUUCAUAUAUCACACAAUAUGGAAUUCUUUUUCUUCCCCUGUUUCUUUCAUGUGAAAAUAGACUCAUGAAGCUUUAAUCCCAUAUUUUAUUCUGCCUCUAACUCAUUUUCCACUAUUUUUAGUGUAUUUUCAAAGUUACACUACUGCAGUAACUCAAAUCUGUCAAGGCUAAAUUACUCAUUCAUGAUCAUUGUUCACAAAAUUAAUACAACAUCGUUUGUAUAAUCAUCACCGAGACAUUCAUAUCACAUUUUCAUUUACCAUCUUACCAUAUUGUUGUUAUGUCGAGUUUUUAACCCGAGGGUUAAGUACAUUCCUGUUCAAAGUAUCCAUUUCACAACAUUUACCAAUACGUCCCUUUCAUCUCGAGUAUUCCUCCAUUUGAGUAGAAUUUUACCCGUUGAACACAUCGGAAUAUAAUUCGGAUACAUGGAAAGUUUGCACAUAAGUGCCACAUAUGUAGCCAAGCUACCAUGUAACCCGCCCAUAAGUGAACUCGGACUCAACUCAACGAGCUCGGGCCUUCUCAUCCAUAAGUGAACUCGGACUCAACUCAACGAGCUCAGAUGCCUAGUUACAUCUCACGAACUCGGACUCAACUCAACGAGUUCGAACAUUCGCAUCCAUAAGUGAACUCGGACUCAACUCAAUGAGUUCGGAUGCUCAACCAUCCUAGUGACAUGUCACUUGUAUCCUAAUCUAUUCCUAAGGUUCAAACGGGAUUUUCCUCGAACACAUCUCCUUGCCAUCUUCCGUAAAAUACCGAAACCAAUACUCGGUAGCACUUUAUAUUUAACAGAUAAUACACAUAACUUGCAUUUUAUUCGAAAAUAACCACAAAGCAUAUAUUUCAUGAUAGAAACCAGCAUAUCAUAUAUUUAACAUCAAUAACUUUAAAAUAACAAUUAUGCUACAUUAUUUACACAUGAACUUACCUCGAUACCACAAAGGUGAAAAAAAAGACGUAAUUAUCCCUUAAUCGAUUUCUUUCCGUUCUAGGUCCAAAUCUCGAUUUUCAUCAUCUAAAAUAUCACAUUCAACUUAUUAAAACAAUGUACUGAUCAAAUUAGUCCAUUGACACACUUGGGAAAUUUUUACAAUUUUUCCCCUAUAUUUUUCCAAAAUUACCAAAUUACCCCUAGGCUCGUAAAAUAAUUUUUAUCACAUUUCUUUACUCCUUGAGUCUAGAUGAACCAUUUUCAUAACUAUAGCAACUCAUAAUUUCAACUAUUUCACACAUUUACAACUCAUUUUACAACUUAGCAAUCUAGCCCUUUUUAAGGUGUUUUCAUGCAAUUUCUUUCACAAAAGUUGUUUAUUAGACAACUAGGACUCAUAAUCUUCCAUAAAAACACAGAAAACAACACAUUUACUCUCAUGGCAAAACCCUAGACUCUUCAUCAUUUUGCAAAAUAGACCCCUCAUAUGAAAGCUCAUGCUUUAGGGGUUCCAAAAAUGUAAAAAUCAUCAAGCAAAGACAUUAAAAUCACUUACAAGCAAGGGAAAUAUGUUGCUGAAAUUUUCCAGCUUCAAAUCCCUUUCUUUGCUGCAUAUUUCAGUGAAGGAGAAGAGAAAAAUGAUAGCUUUUUCUUUUUGAUUUGUUAAUAAUAAAACUAGUCAAAAUUAGUGACCAAAUUUCACCUAAUUUUGACUUUUCAACAAUUUUGUCUCCCAUGGCCGGCAAUCACACUUUCAAUGGCCUAAUUUCACUUUAAAUACCCCCAAUUUAAGAUACAAGGCAAUUUAACACCUUUAGGUAUUAAAACAUAACUUUUACCUUUUACGCGAUUUAGUCCUUUUUCGAAAUUAGACUAGAAAUUGCUAAAAUUAACUUACCAAAAUUUACAUGCACUUAUAAAAUUAUAUUAUAACUCAUAAAAUAAUACUAAAAUAAUUUUAUCUGGCCUCGAAAUAGUGGUCCCGAAACCACUGUUCCGACUAGGCCCAAAAUCGGGCUGUUACACCGUCAGAGAUAUUAUCACACUGUCAAGCUAACGCUAUUGGUGUAGUGAUUUCAAGUACUUUGAGCCUAUGGCAUGUAUAGGAGUUUAAAUAUUAGAGUAUGUGAUAUGGCUUUAACCAUAUGUGUUGGCCUAUUUUGAUUAUGGGGCUGUAAAUCUAUUUUAAUUAUGCAUGCAUGUGUUAUGGUAUUAUGUGAUGAGUUUAUAAUGAUUAUAGUAUGAAUGUGGUAAAGAUGUGAGUAAAAUCUAUGAUAUCUAUUGCAUGUGAAAUUGCCAUAAUCAUGACAUGUUAGGAAUGUUUAAGUACCUAAUUUUGCCAUGUUGUAUGUUAUUGUAUAAGUAUGCGUGUAUCUAUUGUGAGUGUGACAAAAUAGCUUGGAAAAUAGCCUUGUAUUUGUCCAGGUUUUUGGACACGGGUUUGGGACACGGGCGUGUCCCUAGCACACGGGCAUGUGCUCUAUACCCAC
This 3756-nucleotide long non-coding RNA is filed under the name Gossypium barbadense (sea-island cotton). RNAcentral describes it as "long non-coding RNA (GBAR_LNC003595)". The record is from RNAcentral. Lineage: Eukaryota; Viridiplantae; Streptophyta; Magnoliopsida; Malvales; Malvaceae.